This 272-nucleotide ribosomal RNA is filed under the name uncultured bacterium. Its description in RNAcentral is "partial 16S ribosomal RNA". It matches the Rfam family "Bacterial small subunit ribosomal RNA", at positions 70 to 339 of the family's 1533-position model. The record is from RNAcentral.
CAUAAAACAAGCUUGCUUGUUUGGUGGCGACCGGCGCACGGGUGCGUAACGCGUAUGCAACCUACCCUGUACUGAGGGAUAGCCCGGAGAAAUUCGGAUUAACCCCUCAUAGUAUAUAUCAUUCGCAUGUUUGAUAUAUUAAAGGUUACGGUACAGGAUGGGCAUGCGUCCCAUUAGCUAGAUGGUGAGGUAACGGCUCACCAUGGCGACGAUGGGUAGGGGGCCUGAGAGGGUGGUCCCCCACACUGGUACUGAGACACGGACCAGACUCC